GACGAACGCUGGCGGCGUGCCUAACACAUGCAAGUCGAACGGAGACAAACGCCGAAUUGAAGGUAGCUUGCUACAGGAUUUUCUUGUUUGUCUUAGUGGCGGACGGGUGAGUAACGCGUGAGUAACCUGCCUUACAGAGGGGGACAACAGUUGGAAACGACUGCUAAUACCGCAUAACAUAGCGAAGAGGCAUCUCUUUGUUAUCAAAGGAGCAAUCCGCUGUAAGAUGGACUCGCGUCCAAUUAGAUAGUUGGUGGGGUAACGGCCACCAAGUCGACGAUUGGUAGCCGGACUGAGAGGUUGAACGGCCACAUUGGGACUGAGACACGGCCCAGACUCCUACGGGAGGCAGCAGUGGGGGAUAUUGCACAAUGGGGGAAACCCUGAUGCAGCAACGCCGCGUGAGUGAAGAAGUAUUCGGUAUGUAAAGCUCUAUCAGCAGGGAAGAAAAAUGACGGUACCUGACUAAGAAGCCCCGGNUAACUACGUGCCAGCAGCCG
This 500-nucleotide ribosomal RNA is filed under the name uncultured bacterium. Its description in RNAcentral is "bacterial SSU rRNA". It matches the Rfam family "Bacterial small subunit ribosomal RNA", at positions 28 to 517 of the family's 1533-position model. The record is from RNAcentral.